Long non-coding RNA from Drosophila pseudoobscura, 503 nucleotides. RefSeq lists it as uncharacterized. NCBI's taxonomy places the organism in Eukaryota, Metazoa, Arthropoda, Insecta, Diptera, Drosophilidae. The record is from RefSeq and is a predicted model, not a curated record. The transcript has 2 exons.
CCAGCACUGAAAGGAGAAAGCGAGAGGCCUCAGCUUCAGCUAGCUUUACAUAGAUUAAAAACAGGCACCUACAUGGAGAUCCUUCGUUGUCGUAGCCUAUCAGGCCAUACGGCAAAUACUCCUUCAGUGCCUUGGGAGGAUCCCACUUGUCGAUGUUGUCCACAUUCCACAUGGCCCGCGUCUUCAGGCUCUGCACAGAUCUCUCAGCAUUUUCUCUGCUGCCUCCAGGUUCCAUUUGCGAGCUGUUCAGGAGAGAGUUUUGGAUGGUAAGCAAGCAUCUCUAACAAGGAUUCUCUUGGGCAAACUCACCUCUCAGCCAGCGCAGUAGGAAGUAAUCAUCGUGGGUGUCGACGAGAGCAUCGUCCAUCUGCUUGCGGAACUGUAAUAGGUGGAAACGUUAAGAGGAUCAGGAAUCAGGUCUCAUACAGGAUGAAUAAAAUACAAAAUAUGGAGUCCUAUCUGUUAUUCUGCUUGAAUUUAAUAAAAACUUUAUCAACAAUUUA